GUGAGUCAUCGAAUCUUUGAACGCACCUUGCGCCCUCUGGUAUUCCGGAGGGCAUGCCUGUUUGAGUGUCAUGUAGACUCAAUCCCUCGGGUUUCCGAGGAGAUUGGACUUGGGUGUUGCCGCUCUGCCGGCUCGCCUUAAAAGACUUAGCGGGAUAGCACCGUAGUCGGCGUAAUAAGUUUCGUCGGUGAAGGUUGUGAUGACUGCUUACAAUCGCCCUCGGGCAAUUUUUGACUCUGACCUCAAAUCAGGUAGGACUACCCGCUGAACUUAAGCAUAUCAAUAAGCGGAGGA
Molecule: unclassified non-coding RNA, 294 nt
Filed under: Saitozyma sp.
Lineage: Eukaryota; Fungi; Basidiomycota; Tremellomycetes; Tremellales; Trimorphomycetaceae
Description: partial contains 5.8S ribosomal RNA, internal transcribed spacer 2, and large subunit ribosomal RNA
Rfam family: 5.8S ribosomal RNA (bases 1-71)
Source: RNAcentral